Molecule: long non-coding RNA, 4152 nt
Organism: Equus caballus (horse)
Lineage: Eukaryota; Metazoa; Chordata; Mammalia; Perissodactyla; Equidae
Source: Ensembl
GUGAGGGCCUUUUAAGAAGCGGUUGGCAGUGUCCCCCUGGGGCGGGAGAGGCGAAGGUGUCUGAGCAUCCAGUGUGUCAGCACCGAGUGGCUGGGGUGGGAGGUGGUGCAGCAGGGUGACAGGCCAGGGAGCUGCGAAAGCGGAGGCAGCGAGGUGGGUGGCAAGAAGAAAGCCAGAGAGGGAGGUGGCAGCCAAGGGCAGCCAAGGGGGUGCUUCUAAGAAAGGAGCCCCUUUCCUUGAGUCAAGCCACUGGAGACCCCAGUGUUUGUGACUGGACAGGGUCCAUGGCAGGAGGAAGGGGGGCCCAGAGUGGGGGACAGCCCAAGGGGCAAGGCCCGAGGACCCCCACCCCCAACCCGAGGGCUCUCAGCCCCCACUUUGCAGACUGGGAGACCAAGGCGCAGAGGCUGCUGCCAACCACGGGAUUCCGGCCCGGGCUUCUGCCCUCCUCUGCGUUUUUGUGGUUAAGGUUGAGUCAUGUUUCUGGGACAUCAGUUCUAGUCAUUUUGGAGGCCACUCCUCUAGAGUUUUCAGCAGUCAGUCCUUCAAAAGAAAUCCGAGACUUGAGCCUUUCAACUUGGGUCCGCUCUGUCUACCGUGCAGUCUCAGGUUUUGCUCAAGUGUAACUACAGAGCUUUAAUGAAGUGUUCUCGCGAGUUCCCCUUUCCUGCCAUUUCGGUCUCAUCUCCUCGGCUCCUGUGUCCACGUUCGGGGGCCCUGCACCGUGUGGGACGGCCGGCGCUGCCCAGCUGCGCGUCCUGGGUUCCAGUCCCAGCCUGCAGGGUUGCCACACCGUCCAGAAUCACCCCCGCCCCGGGAUAGUACCAGGCACCCCGGGACAGUACCGGGCACCCUGGGACAGUACCGGGCACCCUGGGACCGCCUGCUGGGAAAUCAGCUGGUCAGAACCAUCCCUGUGGGCUCGGAGGGUGGGGCUGGGUGUUUUAAACUGUCACCCGGGAUCCUGGUUUCAUUCGGGUACGAGGAGGCCAGCAGAGCAGGAGACGACUGCCGUGAAAAGACAGUUUGUUACUCUCAGUGCCCAGGAGGAGGGGCGUGCCAGCCACGCAGAGCCACAGGGGGAGCACCAGCGUCUGGGAGGGGAAAGCACCGUGAGAGCCUUUGUUGUGGUUUUCCAGGAAGAAAUGGUGAGGCAGGGUUCUGCACCCGAGAUGAGGGCCUCCCUUGCCUCCCCCUGGCUCAGCCCUGUUGGGGGUAGGUGGGGAGUGCCUGGGCUGCAGCCAGAGGAUGGGGACAACCUCACAAGGAAACUUCCUGACUCCAUCUGGUGGUGUUCAUUCACCCACCUGCCCACCCUCCCUCCAUCUUCCACUGUCCAUUCUUCCAUCCAUCCCUCCAUCGCCCAUCCAUCUGUCCAUAUGCACAGCGCUUAAGAACUUGCAUUCUGCAUUUAUGGCCUGAGUUUGCAUCCUGGCUGCCCAUCUUGGUGACCUGUGACGUCCAUUCAACACCCACACUUCCCGUUUGAUGUAUUUUUACACUUAAAAAUUAUUCAUAUAAUACUUGAAUACAUUGUUUAAAAAUCAUCUAUUAAUCUCUAAUCUUCACAGACAUUCAGUGAGAUAGAUGUGAUCAUCCCCAUUUUAUAAUGAGGAGCUGAGGCCCGGAGGGUAAGGUGUCCUGUCCAAGGUUCCAUGGUCUAUGAGUGAUAGCAACGUGAGACCUGAGAGUCUAGGUCACAAAGCCGGCCACGUCCGUCUUCCCCCGUCACUGCGUCUCCUGAGGGUGGAGCGAGGUCCAGAGGGCCCUGGAGAGCCCGUCGGACGGCAGACAAUCCACAGAUGAUUCUAUGCACGUGAUGAGUUCUGGGAACAGGUGUGAACAGGUAAUGAUGGAUUCUCGGUGGGGAGAACCCGUGAAGGGGGCACGGAGGAGGGUGUUGUGUGAGUUGGCUUGGAAGAGAGAAGGCCGACGAAGGAAGGGCCUCAAGUGGUGGGAACAGCAUGUGCAAACUGCAGCAGUGGAGACUGAGCGGGUGACAUCUAGGCACAUCCUGGGCUGGAGCACUUGCUGUUAGGGACAGAAAGGAAGCAGCCUUGGCGGGAAAUUCCUCUUGUACCGGACGCCACAGAAGGGCAUUCACAUCCCUUGUCUCAAGGGCGGCUCACCACACCCCUGCCAGGUGGCUGUUGUGAUCCCGUUUCAGUGACGAGUGAGGCUGAGCCUCAGAGAGUUUCCGUGAUACCCCCGGGUCACACAGCCAGACGGCGGGGAGCUAGCAGCCAGCCCCAGCUCUGACGUGCACUUUAGAAAGGUCACUCUCACUGUCAUGUGAAAGAAGGACUUGGUAAGACAGAGAAAAGCAGAGAGACUCAAAUGAUCUUCACAAGGGGGCCAAGAGCAUUCAGUGCGGGAAAGGGCUGUCUUUUCAAUGAGUGGUGCUGGGAAAACCGGAUCUCCACAUGUGAAAGGAGGAAGUUAGUCCCUACCUCACGCCGUACACAAAACUUCACUCAAAAUGGAUCAGGGACCUAAGUGUAAGGCCUAAAACAGUAAAACUCUUAGAAGAAAACACAGGACCAAAGAUUCAUGAUGCUGGAUUUGGUGAUGAUUCCUUGCAUAAGACUCCAAAGGGACAGGUAACAAAAGGAAAAAUAGACAAAUUGGACUUCAUGAAAAUUUAAAAAUUUUGUGCAUUAAAAAUUACUGUCAACAGAGUAAAAAGGUAACUCCCAGAAUGGGAGAAAAUAUUUACAAAUCAUAUAUCUGAUAAGGAAUUAAUAUCCAGAACAUACAGAGAAGUAAAACUCAACAACAACAAAAAACCCAAAUCAAAAAUGGGCAAAUGACUUGAAUUGACGUUUUUCUAAAGAAGACAUGCAAAUGGCCGAUAAGCACAUGAGAGAUGAUCAACACCACUGAUCAUGAGGGAGAUGCAAAUCAAAACCGCAGUGAGUACCACCUCACACCCAUCAGGAUGGCUGUUAUAUUAAAAAGCAAACAAAUGGAAAAUAAGAAGUGUUGGUGAGGAUGUGGACAGACUGGAACCCUCGUGCACCUUUGGUGGGAAUGGAAAAAGGUACAGCUGCUCUGGAAAACCGUGUGGUGGUUCCUCAAAAAGUUAAAAAUAGAGUUACUAUAUGACCCAGAAAUUCCACCUCUGGGUAUACACCCAGAAGAACGGAAAACAGUCUCGAACAGAUAUUUGCACACCCAUGCGCACAGCAGCAUUAUUCACAACAGCCAAAAUGCGGAAGUAACCCAAGUGCCCGUCAACAGAUGAGCGGAUAAACAAAAUGGGGCACAUCCAUACCAUGGAAUAUUAUUCGGCCCUAAAAAGGAGGGGAAUUCUGACACGUGCCACAACACAGAUGAGCCCUGAGGACAUUAGGCUGAGUGAAGUAAGCCACAAAAGGACAAAUAGCGUAUGAUUCUCUUUAUAUGAGGUCCCUACAGUAGUCAGACUCAUAGAGACAGAAAGUAGGAGGGUGGUUGCCAGGGCCUGGUGGAGGGGGAUGCGGAGUGACCGUUUAAGGGGCACAGUUUCAGUUUUACAAGAUGAAAAGAGCUGUGGGGGGAGGUGCUGGUUGUAAAACAUGAUGACGGUGCUUAAUACCACGGAACUAUGCACUUAAAAAUGGUCAAGGCGGUAAAUUUGAUGUUCUCUGUACCCACAACAUAGUGUACACAUAGAGACACAACAGAGUGUGAUGGAUUCACGGAUCUGGAGCCCCACAGCAGGAUGCAGAAACGUAGCUGGGCGUCAUCGACGUGCAGGUGACCACAAGGGCACGAUCUCCACGAGCUUGCUCAUGGACGCUUUGAGGAGAGAAGAGGGCUGAGGUCAGAUCCCUCUAGAGCUCAGCGGUAUGGGGUCCAAGCUGGAGGAAGGGCCCGGAGAUGAGGAUGAGGUCAGGGAGGUGGAGGGACGGGAGGAGAGUGUCAGGGAAGGCGAGGGAGGGGUCAGGAGGCACCUGGUCCCCCUCGUUCAGAGAGUCUUUGCUCCCUCCUGGGCCCAGCACCCCUCCACUUUCAGUCCGUGUGAUUUGUGGGGCUGACCCACCCCCAGCUCCAGGAAGCGGGGAGAGAAGGCCUGGCCUGGGUCCAGCUAAUAAUAUUCCAUCUCCUGGCUCUGGUGAUUGGCUCAAGAGUGGGCCUGUGACCAACGUAGGGCCUGGAGAUUCAAUCAUG